AGCUGGGCUCCGUCUCCUUCAGCUCUUUUUGCGGUCUGGGCUUGCUGUUCUCUCAACAGUAGUCAGGAAGCCCUUACCCCAAAAAGUAUCUGCGGGAGACCUUAUCCACAAGGAAGACCCC
This 121-nucleotide microRNA precursor is filed under the name Dasypus novemcinctus (nine-banded armadillo). Its description in RNAcentral is "microRNA 129-1 (ENSDNOG00000026460.1)". The stretch from base 19 to 92 matches the Rfam family "mir-129 microRNA precursor family". From Rfam's summary of the family: The mature sequence is excised from the 5' arm of the hairpin. The record is from RNAcentral. Lineage: Eukaryota; Metazoa; Chordata; Mammalia; Cingulata; Dasypodidae.